RNAcentral lists this long non-coding RNA (670 nucleotides) under Marmota monax (woodchuck). Lineage: Eukaryota; Metazoa; Chordata; Mammalia; Rodentia; Sciuridae. The record is from RNAcentral.
GUUUAUGUAUUCUAAUGCAUGUUAGAAAAUUGAAUAUGUAGGAAACAAGGCUGCAUGAAGAAAGUGUGUUGUUACUGUGCAGUUAAAAUUUUGGCUGGCUUUCUUUAGUUUGAACAACAUUCUUGUCUACCCCAAUAGUCACAGGUGCCAUCUCUGCAACAGAAAGAGUGGUGGUGGCAAAAUUUCCAGAAUGUUAAAAAAAAAAAAAAAAAACACCCAUGUGCCUUUUUAAAACCAACUAGACUUUUCUAUAAAACAUCUCUGGUUCUUUCAAAGUUUGUGUUAUAAGGAGAAAUGUAGACAGUGCUAUAGUACUUCAUAUUUUUGCUUAUGAUGACAACUACCAAUUCUUUUUCAUUUAAGUUAGAUUGAGAAAUUUCAUUUAAUGGCAGCUGAAGGGCCAUUUUCAAUUGGGAGAGUUCAUUUACAUCUGUAGUAAACUUUAUUUUGAUGAAAAGUUGCACUAGUAUUUUACCACAAGAUGAAAAAUAAAAAGAUGAGCAUCAUUUAAAAAUUAAUGUAUUUAAAAUAAAGUACAGAGAAAAACAUGUAUAUAAUAUAUCAGGCUUUGUUUUGAAUGGAAUCUUUUCCCCCAAUCUUUAAUGUAAAGAUCUUGUGUGCUAUAACUUUUAAAGCCAUACAAAUAAGAGUGCUAAACUGUGGACUUAAA